AACAACUCCAAUAAUAGAGAACUGCCUUUGAGUGUCAAUGAUAUAAUAUGUUCACUUUCACAUGGUACUUGCAAAAUAUUUUUCUGCUAGUACCAUGUGAAAGGGACAUUGUCCUAAGCUCUUAGGAAACAAGCAAAAGGCUGUUUGCCCAAAAGAAAAAAAAAAUAAAACAACAAAAUAACCAUCUUAGAAGCUGCUGCUGCUGUUUUCAUCAAAAUAUACAUUACAAUAAAAAUUUAAAAUCAUUGUGAAUGAGGUGCACAUGCACCCUAUAUUAUAAUCCCUCAACAAAAAGAAUGACCUAAAAUAAACAAAGAAUAAAACUCAUAGCCAUAGUGUUAGGAGAAAAAAAUGGUUUCUAGCUGGUCUUCAGAAUCAGAUGAUAUUUCUCAUACUGUUUCUUCUUUUCCUUUGUGUUUUGGUUGUCUAUCGCUCAUUUUGUAUUACCUUUUUAGCCAACAUAGGGUUGGUCAAUGAAGGCCCACUCAAAGACCUCCUCAUAUUGAAUUGCAGCAUUUUCCCAUGUGUAGUCUCUUUCCAUACCUCUCUUCAUUAUUCCCUCCCAGGAUAAUUUAUGAUCUCUGUAUGUCUUGACAGCAAGUCUUAAUGCCUAUAAAAAAAAUAAUCCAAGUAUAAUUAGAAAUAAGGUAAUGAUAAACAACAAAACCAUUAAUAAAAUUCAAAAAAGCCUUUGGUAACUAAUUAAAUGGUGAAAGGAAGAUGCUAGCAUGAGGCCAAUGAUGCUACUCUGAAUCCUUUCCCUGUUCUAAUACUUGAUCACAUCACGAGGCACGAGCCAAAUUAUUGCAGGGAAGGUCCUCCUAGCACCUUACAUGAAAUUUAUUCCUAAAGGUCAACUGGAUAGGGUUCAUGUGCUCAGGAAAAAGAUAACCUUUUUAAAAUGGUUUAGUAGAGUUUCACCAAAUUAUAUAAAUUUUACAGAAAGUUAAUUAAAAUCUCAACUCAUGUGAGAAAUUGAUUAGGGGGCAUCUGCAGGUGAUGACAUUGCAGAAGAAUCAAAACUCAACAGGGGAGAGCUUGUCAUUCAUCAUAGGAAUGCUUGUGACAGGAAAACCCUUAAAACUUUUUCAUCAAACAGAUUUUAUGAUAAAUGCUCGACUGAAUGAAUGACUAGUGUCUGCAAAAGUCUAGUCUCAAAACCAACAAAUCAGCUUUGUAAUGUGUAAACUCUCAAAUCUCUCACAAACUAAAAUGUCUCUUGGAUAACAAGAACAAAGGGAACAAAAGGUGAUUUCAAAUAGUAAACUUAAUAAACAAUUAAAACAUUUGUUGCAUUGAAACAGAAUCAGAAUUUCUGACGAAGAAAUAUAGUGCGCAUGAAUUAAAGUUAACUUACUGCCAGCAUACUUUCUUUUGAUAGCGGAGAAAAGGUCCACCUGCCAAUAUAUUCCAUGACAUUACCAUAAAAAGAAUUUUAUGCAAGUCAUUAUCUAAACGAAACAAAAAAACUAAAUUCCCAGUAAGGAAAUAAAAUUGGCAAAUAUGCAGAGAGCCAUUCUAGUAACAUAAAGCAUACAUUUCUAGUCAUCAUAUUAAGUUUAUUUAACAAAAAAAUGACUUGAUCAUCAUGAGUAAUUUCCCCCCAAAAUAAAAUUCCCUAGAAGUUAAUCGGUAACAACCUUUGUUAGAUUAGUUUUUCUCCCAUGAAAAAAGAAAAAGACAUGCAUGUCUUAGUUUUGUGGCGAGACAGACAAUAUAGAACUCACAAGAAAACAAGAUUAAGGACUUGAAAAACUUAGAAUUACAGUUGAAAUUUAUUAGGGGGCUUAUUUGGGAAAUUAGAGUGCUUUCUAGUUCUUUAAGAAUCUUAAAAAUAUGUCCACUCAAAUGAAUCGGUUACUAGAGACUUCAUAAUACUAUUCCGGGUACUUUGCUAAUUAUUGGCUUUGCUGAGCAUUGUCCUGGUUUUAAUCUUUUGAGCCUUAAAUUCCGUUCAUUAAUGUUUUGAGUUUAUAAGAAUCUUAAUGGGUGUAGGAGUCAUAUAAAUGGGGUAUUCAUUUAUUGGAGUCUAAGUAAGAAUAGAGUUAUUUCGAGUCUAUAAAAUUCUAUGAUCAUAAUGCUUCACCAAUAAAUUUUUGAGUGAACAAGUACCAGCAGUUCAGAUAGAAUAUGUUAAAAUUCUCUCUCAUUAUAACAAGGUUAUUGUUGUAUAAUGAAAAUAUAAUGUAUGAGGAUUGGGUGUAAAUGUUAUAUAAAAGUGUAAGUGAAUGCUUCGCAAAACAACAUUGGAAUAAGGGAAAAAGAAAUAUUAAAAGAAAAGGGAAGAAAUAAUAAAUGGCAAAAAGCCACAGGUAUAUGAAUUUAUUUUUUUCCUAAUUGGGAAAUAAUGGUACAUUCUAUUAUAUAUAACAAAUCCUUCCAAUUCCAUUAUAGACAGAAAUUUGGACAAGGAAAAAACAAUUUCAAGAAAAAGAAACAAAGUGAAUUAGACGAAUAUUUUUUUGUUGACAACCUCAAAGAAAAAAAAGUGUCUUUAAAAAAAGUGCUUGUUCCUAGCUGCAGAUCUGAAGCAUUGGAACUUGAAUUAAUUAUGUUCCAGAAUUCAUCCACAUCAAUGCUACAAAACACAAUAUCAGAUGCAGAAUUAAAAUUAAGAUUUAUUUUAUGUUAUCCCAGGUGCAUAAAAGGCACCAUUUCUUGUUAUUAAGUUUUGCAACUAAAAGGAUCUUUCCAGAAAAUUAUAUAGUGCAAAAGCUUAAGAAAAAUCACAUACCCUGUGCCUUCACCAAAUCCCUCUUCAGCAUAUGGAUUAAAAGUUUGUACUGUGUCCCUAAGUCCCCCAGUGCAAUGAACUACUGGUACAGUUCCGUAUCUCAUUGCAUACAGUUGAUUUAGCCCACAUGGCUCAAAUCUUGAGGGCAUUAAUAAUAUGUCACAUCCUGCAGUUAUUCUAUGAGAAAUUGGAACAUUAAAUCCCACCCAUCCUCGAAAUUUGUCUCUGUAAGUUGACUCUGUUGCUCUCAUCCAUUCUUCAUACAGUGGAUCCCCAGACCCUAGCAUGACAAACUGAACAUCAUCUUCCAUCAGGUCAGGAACUGCCCAGCGAAUCAGGUCAAUGCCUUUUUGAUAGUCCAAUCUCCCAAUGAAUCCAAUCAAUGGACAAUCAGGCCUCAUAGGGAGACCUAAUUCUUUCUGCAAAGCAAUCUUACACUGAACCUGCAAUUGACAAAGAACUAGGGUAAUAGAAAAUACUUCAAAGCAAUUGAUUACAGAAAAUGAAUUGAGACUUAACCACCUUUCCGGAGAGAUCAUCAACAGAGUAAUGGUCAGCAAUAUGCUCAUCCGAUGAUGGAUCCCAUUCAGAAACAUCAAUGCCAUUUAUGAUCCCAUCCAACACGCUCCUUCGACUGCUUAACAGCUCAUGCAGACCAUAUCCACCUUCAACGGUUGUUAUUUCCCAAGAAUAGCCCUAAAAUUAAUAUUAAGUAUUAAUAUGAAGCAAUAUUGAAAACCCAACAAAAUUAUGUCAACAGAUAAUCAUUACCACACAGGUGAACUAAAUUUCUGCAAUUUUCAUGCUGAAUUUAUAUUAUUUCAAAAGUAAAGGCCAUCUAACAGAGGCUUUUAAUUCUGAAAUACUUAAAGGGUUGGAAAUAGGGAAGUAGGAACUUAAUAUAUAAAUCAAUGACCUUGCUAACUGUGAGAAUUCGAUCAGCUGUCACAAUUGCACCCUUAAGUACAUUUACAGCUUCACCUGUGUCCAGAGCAUGAGUUCUUGCCCACGUUGGGAACACCCAUUCCAGUGCCCCGUACCACUCUGGAGGCAGUCCAAAAUUUUUGUAUUUGACAGCAGGUUCCACUCCCUGAUGUGCAAGGUUAUGUAUCACAAGAAGACUACGGGCAUCCUUAUAAACCCCAUGUGGACGAUAUUUGGCAGCCAAAAGUACAGGGACUAGCCCAGCAUGCCAGUCAUUAGCAAGAAAGAGACAUUUCUCUCCAUAGUUAUAACCUCCAAGUGGAAGAACUAGAGGAGCUUCGCAUGCUGCAUGGCAAAGUAAAGUGAACCGAAACUGAUUAUCACCAAAAGCACCAUGGCUAUCACCAUAUGGAUUUCCAGGUCUAUGGUAUGAAGGAUUGUCUACAAACACCCAAUCUACACCUUCCCUAUACUCAUGGAAGAAGGAGACUUCUUGUGCGCCUCCAAAGCAUUGUACCUUGAUGUGACAGUCUAAAUCUAAAGCAUUAUCAAAAAUCUUAUCUUCAGGACAGGAAUGCAGGUAUCUAGGGGAAACAACCAUUACACGAUGUCCGCGGGCAGCCAGUACUAUAGGCAAAGAACCACAAACAUCUCCUAAUCCACCUGUCUUUGAAUAUGGUGCUGCUUCAGCAGUAACAAAAACAAUAUUGAGAUUUACUCUGGUUUGGGCUUUCUCUCUGCCUUCAGCAUCCACAGUUUCUUCUGCCAUAUCAAUAGCUACAUCGUCAGGAGAUUCAAUGCCAUCAUCACCAGACUGAGAAAUCAAGUUAAACCCAAUAACAGAACCAGUCUCAUCUCUUUCUGCCCCCAAUAUAAGACCUUUCUCUUCAUUCCCAUUUUGAACCUCUGAUAAUCCAUCUCGUGAAUUGCCCAGCCCGCCUACCUCUGUUCUUACAAGCGUCAAGGAAGCCUUUUUACACCUUUCUCCAAACAAAUAAGCAAAACCAAGUUGCGCGAUCGGAAGAAAACUGAGAUGGGUGUUUACUGAUUUUGGAGAUGAUGGGCACGAUCGGCCCUGGGUGAUCCUUAGAGACUGCAUAAGUGAAAUUAAAAAGAGGUAGCGAGUCAGGAGAGGAUAGAGAUAGAAAAAAGAGGCAGCGUUUAAGGCCAGUAGACGACGAAAGGGAUCAUUUAGUUGAAAUAGCGAGGAAAAUCUGAUAAAGAGAGCCGCUUUGUGACCAAAAGAACAAAGCAGCGACUGGAGAGGGAGUUCUUUUUGGGUUUAUUGCGAGAAAGAUAAGGAGAUUGAGGCCGGAGAGCGUAAGAUCCUGAAAAAGCGCG
RNAcentral lists this unclassified non-coding RNA (4999 nucleotides) under Hevea brasiliensis (rubber tree). The record is from RNAcentral. Lineage: Eukaryota; Viridiplantae; Streptophyta; Magnoliopsida; Malpighiales; Euphorbiaceae.